GAUGAACGCUGGCGGCGUGCCUAAUACAUGCAAGUCGAGCGAACGGACGAGAAGCUUGCUUCUCUGAUGUUAGCGGCGGACGGGUGAGUAACACGUGGAUAACCUACCUAUAAGACUGGGAUAACUUCGGGAAACCGGAGCUAAUACCGGAUAAUAUUUUGAACCGCAUGGUUCAAAAGUGAAAGACGGUCUUGCUGUCACUUAUAGAUGGAUCCGCGCUGCAUUAGCUAGUUGGUAAGGUAACGGCUUACCAAGGCAACGAUUCAUAGCCGACCUGGGAGGGUGAUCGGCCACACUGGAACUGAGACACGGUCCAGACUCCUACGGGAGGCAGCAGUAGGGAAUCUUCCGCAAUGGGCGAAAGCCUGACGGAGCAACGCCGCGUGAGUGAUGAAGGUCUUCGGAUCGUAAAACUCUGUUAUUAGGGAAGAACAUAUGUGUAAGUAACUGUGCACAUCUUGACGGUACCUAAUCAGAAAGCCACGGCUAACUACGUG
RNAcentral lists this ribosomal RNA (497 nucleotides) under uncultured bacterium. RNAcentral's name for it is "partial 16S ribosomal RNA". It matches the Rfam family "Bacterial small subunit ribosomal RNA", at positions 28 to 507 of the family's 1533-position model. The record is from RNAcentral.